ACUGGCGGCAGGCCUAACACAUGCAAGUCGAGCGAGAAAGGGGCUUCGGCCCCGAGUAGAGCGGCGCACGGGUGAGUAACACGUGAAUAAUCUGCCUUCAGGCCGGGGAUAACAGACCGAAAGGACUGCUAAUACCCGAUAAGCUUCCGCACCAACCGGGUGGAGUGGAGAAAAGUGUGGGAUCGCAAGACCACAUACCAGAAGAUGAGUUCGCGUUCCAUUAGAUAGUUGGCGGGGUAAUGGCCCACCAAGUCGACGAUGGAUAGCUGGUCUGAGAGGAUGAUCAGCCACACUGGGACUGAGACACGGCCCAGACUCCUACGGGAGGCAGCAGUGGGGAAUCUUGCGCAAUGGACGAAAGUCUGACGCAGCCAUGCCGCGUGAGUGAUGAAAGGCCUUCGGGUUGUAAAGCUCUGUCUAAGGGAAAAAACGUCAUCAUAGCGAACAGAGAUGGUGAGUGAUGGUACCCUUAAAGAAAGCACCGGCUAACUCCGUGCCAGCCGCUGC
Molecule: ribosomal RNA, 507 nt
Filed under: uncultured bacterium
Lineage: Bacteria
Description: bacterial SSU rRNA
Rfam family: Bacterial small subunit ribosomal RNA
Source: RNAcentral